RNAcentral lists this long non-coding RNA (314 nucleotides) under Spirodela polyrhiza (greater duckweed). RNAcentral describes it as "long non-coding RNA (SPOL_LNC001005)". The record is from RNAcentral. Lineage: Eukaryota; Viridiplantae; Streptophyta; Magnoliopsida; Alismatales; Araceae.
CCAAAGAGGAAAGAAGGUGAAAUAUACAUGCCUUUUGUACAAGUGGAGUACCUUGACUUUCUUUGUCAUGCUUGUGGCCUCAUUCUUCUUCUCCUAAUUCAAAAAGAAUGAGGUGUAGAGAAAAAGAGACUAUAUUCAAGCACUAUGCUUUCCCAUAACAAUAUGUAAAAGUAUAAUUAAAACAAAGUUUACCUUUUUUAUGAGCUAAUGCUUAGAAAAAAUAGGCAAUCAAAAUUCAGGCAAUAAGAAAUGAAUAAGUAAUCACUAGGGCUGGAGACUAAGAUAGGAAGAUUAGAAAACAUAUUAAAACUUUC